GAAAGAAAUAUACAAAAUAGAAAAACCUUGAAGUUCCUACUCCAUAACUCUCUUGAUUAGUAGGUCACUUGGAGCUGUAGAAAGCCCUGCUGGAUUGUAAGCCUGACAUCAAAUACCUGAGUGUUAUGGAUGGCCUUCUAUUUGCGGAAAAAAAGGAGAAAUGGAGAAAAAUAAGACAAUGAAGGAAAAUGAAGAUCUGGAUGGCAGAGGAGAAGAUAGAAACGCAGAGUGAUUGUCAGAUGUUACUGAAGAACAUAUCUGAAUA
This 265-nucleotide long non-coding RNA is filed under the name Numida meleagris (helmeted guineafowl). Its description in RNAcentral is "lncRNA (ENSNMEG00000005271.1)". The record is from RNAcentral. Lineage: Eukaryota; Metazoa; Chordata; Aves; Galliformes; Numididae.